CGUGUAGGCGGUUUGGUAAGUCUGAUGUGAAAGCCCUGGGCUCAACCCGGGAAGUGCAUUGGAAACUGUCAGACUUGAAUACGGGAGAGGGUAGUGGAAUUCCUGGUGUAGGAGUGAAAUCCGUAGAUAUCAGGAGGAACACCGGUGGCGAAGGCGGCUGCCUGGACCGAUAUUGACGCUGAGACGCGAAAGCGUGGGUAGCAAACAGGAUUAGAUACCCUGGUAGUCCACGCCGUAAACGAUGAGUACUAGGUGUUGCGGGUAUUGACCCCUGCAGUGCCGCAGCUAACGCACUAAGUACUCCGCCUGGGAAGUACGGUCGCAAGACUAAA
Molecule: ribosomal RNA, 332 nt
Filed under: uncultured bacterium
Lineage: Bacteria
Description: bacterial SSU rRNA
Rfam family: Bacterial small subunit ribosomal RNA
Source: RNAcentral